This 301-nucleotide ribosomal RNA is filed under the name uncultured bacterium. Its description in RNAcentral is "partial 16S ribosomal RNA". It matches the Rfam family "Bacterial small subunit ribosomal RNA", at positions 509 to 809 of the family's 1533-position model. The record is from RNAcentral.
CAGUCGCCGCGGGAAAACGAAGGGGGCUAGCGUUGUUCGGAUUUACUGGGCGUAAAGGGCGCGUAGGCGGACUGAUAAGUCAGGGGUGAAAUCCCAAGGCUCUACCUUGGAACUGCCUUUGAUACUGUUUGUCUUGAGUUCGAGAGAGGUAAGUGGAACUGCGAGUGUAGAGGUGAAAUUCGUAGAUAUUCGCAAGAACACCAGUGGCGAAGGCGGCUUACUGGCUCGAAACUGACGCUGAGGCGCGAAAGCGUGGGGAGCAAACAGGAUUAGAUACCCCCGUAGUCCCUGUCUCUUAUAA